GACGAACGCUGGCGGCGUGCUUAACACAUGCAAGUCGAACGGAAAGGCCCUGCUUUUGUGGGGUGCUCGAGUGGCGAACGGGUGAGUAACACGUGAGUAACCUGCCCUUGACUUUGGGAUAACUUCAGGAAACUGGGGCUAAUACCGGAUAGGAGCUCCUGCUGCAUGGGGGGGGUUGGAAAGUUUCGGCGGUUGGGGAUGGACUCGCGGCUUAUCAGCUUGUUGGUGGGGGAGUGGCUUACGAAGGCUUUGACGGGUGGUCGGCCUUGGAGGGUGGACGCCCACAUUGGGCCUGAGGUACGGCCCAGACUCCUACGGGAGACAGCAGUGGGGAAUAUUGCACAAUGGGCGGAAGCCUGAUGCAGCAACGCCGCGUUCGGGAUGACGGCCUUCGGGUUGUAAACCGCUUUCGCCUGUGACGAAGCGUGAGUGACGGUAAUGGGUAAAGAAGCACCGGCUAACUACGUG
This 468-nucleotide ribosomal RNA is filed under the name uncultured bacterium. RNAcentral describes it as "partial 16S ribosomal RNA". It matches the Rfam family "Bacterial small subunit ribosomal RNA", at positions 28 to 507 of the family's 1533-position model. The record is from RNAcentral.